Molecule: ribosomal RNA, 158 nt
Filed under: uncultured bacterium
Lineage: Bacteria
Description: partial 16S ribosomal RNA
Rfam family: Bacterial small subunit ribosomal RNA
Source: RNAcentral
UGAGGAAUAUUGGUCAAUGGGCGGGGAGCCUGAACCAGCCAAGCCGCGUGAUGGAAGAAGGUACAGCGUAUCGUAAACCUCUUUUGUCAGGGAACAAAGGCGGGGACUAGUCCCCGGAUGAGGGUACCUGAAGAAAAAGCAUCGGCUAACUCCGUGCC